UUCUCCUCUCUUCGCCUUUUCCUUCUUUCCUCAUUUUCGUUCCUCAAUUCAUUUCAACGUUCCCUAAUUUCGCAUCAACACCAUGCAUCUCUAAUUUCUCGACACUUCCACAUCACGUAUUUCUAAUUUCUCGGCACUCCUCUCUCUGAACACUCCGAGAACACUCCCUCCGUGGUUGUGGUUUAGGCUAUAGAGAGAAGAAGAGCUANGUUAGGGGAAGAUGUGUUCGUCGAUAUCUCCGCGCGAAUUGAAAGCACUGUGGUUGUGCUUCAUUUUAUCUUCUUCUGCAUUGGAAGGAACCCUAAUCCAUCCCUUAUCGAUCGGAAUCAAUGGAGCGAAUACUGUCCGCGAACGAGCAGCAGAGCAUGGUGUCUUCGUUCCUUGAGGUGGCUCAGGGCUAGAUUGCCGAGACUGCGCGCCAGUUCCUCCAGGGUUGUUGCUGUGAUUGAUGUUGUAACAGGCUACCAGUUGGAAGCUUAAGGAGGCUCUUCAGUUGUUUUUGAUAGGUAGUGAAAGUGAGGCAGUGNNGCCUCCAACUUUGCACACUCCGCCUUUGNAAAAUGUUGAUUCCUGGACUGACCAACCUCCCAGUGAACCUAUGAAGGACNCAUCGGGGAGUGAAAGUGUUGGACUUAAUGAGGCAGAAGAAGUGCGCCCUCCCUUACCUGUAAUUAGGGAAACUCUCUAUGAUGAUGCAAUGNUGUAUGGAGCACCAAGGGUUGGGCAUCGUUCACAAGAACCAAGCACCCUAGUUGCAUUUCGUAACUUUGAAGAAGAAAUGAGAAAUCCAGGGGUUUGGGAGCCAGAGUAAGGUGCUGCUUCUACAGCAGAGAAAUCCAGCUAAGUUUGAUGGUAUACUAGGACUUGGAUUUCAAGAGAUCUUAGUGGGAAAUGCUGUUCCAGUGUGGUACAAUAUGGUUGAACAAGGUCUUGUAAAGGAUCCAGUAUUUUCAUUUUGGUUAAAUCGUAAACCAGAAGAAGAGAAUGGGGGUGAGAUUGUUUUUGGUGGUGCUGAUUCUG
Vigna radiata var. radiata (mung bean) is the source of this 1020-nucleotide long non-coding RNA. RefSeq lists it as uncharacterized. The record is from RefSeq and is a predicted model, not a curated record. The transcript is spliced from 5 exons. NCBI's taxonomy places the organism in Eukaryota, Viridiplantae, Streptophyta, Magnoliopsida, Fabales, Fabaceae.